GAUGAACGCUGGCGGCGUGCCUAACACAUGCAAGUCGAGCGAACCCUUCGGGGUGAGCGGCGGACGGGUGAGUAACGCGUGGGUAACCUGCCCUAUACACACGGAUAACGUACCGAAAGGUACGCUAAUACGGGAUAAAGUUGUUGGAUGGCAUCUUCUAACAAUCAAAGCUCCGGCGGUAUAGGAUGGACCCGCGUCUGAUUAGCUAGUUGGUGAGGUAAUGGCUCACCAAGGCGACGAUCAGUAGCCGACCUGAGAGGGUGAUCGGCCACACUGGAACUGAGACACGGUCCAGACUCCUACGGGAGGCAGCAGUGGGGAAUAUUGCACAAUGGGCGAAAGCCUGAUGCAGCAACGCCGCGUGAGCGAUGAAGGUCUUCGGAUCGUAAAGCUCUGUCCUCAAGGAAGAUAAUGACGGUACUUGAGGAGGAAGCCCCGGCUAACUACGUGCCAGCCGCAGUAAUAC
RNAcentral lists this ribosomal RNA (466 nucleotides) under uncultured bacterium. Its description in RNAcentral is "partial 16S ribosomal RNA". It matches the Rfam family "Bacterial small subunit ribosomal RNA", at positions 28 to 526 of the family's 1533-position model. The record is from RNAcentral.